GACAGAGGUGCCGAGCGUUAGGCGGAAUCACUGGGCUUAAAGCGUGUGUAGGCGGGUCGUUAAGUGUCUUGUGAAAUCCCACCGCUCAACGGUGGAACUGCUGGGCAUACUGGCGAUCUUGAGCCACCUAGGGGCAGACGGAACAAGCGGUGGAGCGGUGAAAUGCGUAGAUAUCGCUUGGAACGCCGACGGUGAAAACAGUCUGCUGGGGGUGUGCUGACGCUGAGACACGAAAGCCAGGGGAGCGAAUGGG
RNAcentral lists this ribosomal RNA (253 nucleotides) under uncultured bacterium. Its description in RNAcentral is "partial 16S ribosomal RNA". It matches the Rfam family "Bacterial small subunit ribosomal RNA", at positions 524 to 776 of the family's 1533-position model. The record is from RNAcentral.